Molecule: transfer RNA, 67 nt
Filed under: Glossosoma caudatum
Lineage: Eukaryota; Metazoa; Arthropoda; Insecta; Trichoptera; Glossosomatidae
Description: tRNA-Asn
Source: RNAcentral
UUAAGUAAAGCCAAAAAGAGGCAUAUUAUUGUUAAUAAUAUAACUGAAUAUUUAACUUCUACUUAAA